CUCGGUGCAGACACACUCCACCACCUAAGCUAUCAGAGAGAGAGAGACAGAGAGAACGGGACGACGUCGCCGGCGUGCUCGACGCGUGUCCGACGUCGUGGCAGCCGCCGAGCUCGCCCAUAUCCACUCCAAUGCGCCGCAUUGUCUCCAUUUCCUCUCCUGCGUCGAUCCAGCCGACGGAGAGAGCCCCCUUUUGCUUCCACUCGCUAUUCUUUCUCUGCCGGCCGUGGAGACGACGACCGCCGCCGCCGCCAUCGAGCCACGGUCGUCACUCUUCCUCUUGCGUUCUGUGGCCUCCCCAUGACGCCGAGCUUUCCCUUCUAACCCCACCGCAUAACGUACAACCGUGACGCCGGAACACCGCCGCGCCCACAGAAGCACCAGAGCGCCGCCGCUCGGACAUCAUCGCUGUCCGGUCAACUCCGACCAAAUCAGACCGAACCACCGCGCCACUGACUUCGUCUCAAUCCCAGGAAGCUGCCGCCCGAAGGAAUCGGACUACGACGCUGUGAACUCGGAGAUCGGCCGUUUCUCCCCCAACUCCGGCCACCGGGCUCCAUCCUCCAAUUCUCCCUCUCCGCUUCUCAUCGACCCGAGUGGGCUGUCGCCGUGAAGCCACCAUUUUCUGCCGCCGCCGGGGAGUCUUCUCCAUCGCCAUCGCUGUCCGGGAUCCGCCAACCGUCGCGCACCCCUUGGUUGAUUGCUUAGUCUUCUGAGUGAUUUGUGGAAAUCGUUGCUUCUUCUAGGAUCGGAUCCAAAAGGAGUAUUCUCCUUGUCGGCCGCUUGUGGAUUUGGGUAGCCAAGCUUUCGCGGAUCAGUAAAUAUCUGGCCGUUUGGCCUAACUAUUUAGAUAAGAAUGUAGAGUAAAGUUUACUUAUGUUUACUCCCUAUUUAUUCUGAUUGUCAUCGCUUA
Molecule: long non-coding RNA, 913 nt
Organism: Oryza sativa Japonica Group (Japanese rice)
Lineage: Eukaryota; Viridiplantae; Streptophyta; Magnoliopsida; Poales; Poaceae
Source: RefSeq, a predicted model, not a curated record